AGUGAACGCUGGCGGUAGGCCUAACACAUGCAAGUCGAACGGCAGCACAGUAAGAGCUUGCUCUUACGGGUGGCGAGUGGCGGACGGGUGAGGAAUACAUCGGAAUCUACUUUUUCGUGGGGGAUAACGUAGGGAAACUUACGCUAAUACCGCAUACGACCUACGGGUGAAAGCAGGGGAUCUUCGGACCUUGCGCGAUUGAAUGAGCCGAUGUCGGAUUAGCUAGUUGGCGGGGUAAAGGCCCACCAAGGCGACGAUCCGUAGCUGGUCUGAGAGGAUGAUCAGCCACACUGGAACUGAGACACGGUCCAGACUCCUGCGGGAGGCAGCAGUGGGGAAUAUUGGACAAUGGUCGCAAGCCUGGUCCAGCCAUACCGCGUGGGUGAAGAAGGCCUUCGGGUUGUAAAGCCCUUUUGUGGGGAAAGAAAAGCAGCAGGUUAAUACCCCGCUGUUCUGACGGUACCCAAAGAAUAAGCACCGGCUAACUUCGUG
This 492-nucleotide ribosomal RNA is filed under the name uncultured bacterium. Its description in RNAcentral is "partial 16S ribosomal RNA". It matches the Rfam family "Bacterial small subunit ribosomal RNA", at positions 29 to 507 of the family's 1533-position model. The record is from RNAcentral.